UUAAGGAAAAGUAGGGUAAGAUGUGAAUAAGGGUUCAUUCCCCAGUUGACACAUUCACGAUCUCCCUUUCCCACAGCACGACCUUCACACACGAACUUGCAACCACCGACUCUGACCUCCACCUCCGUAUCAUCUCCUCUGUCCUUUCUGUACCAUCCAGCAGACAGUCCCAAAUCAAGUAUUUUAGGUAUUGUAGGUGCUGGUAAACCCUAAGCGUUACAGUUUUUGGACCUCUGUUCGUUGCUGCUCUUAUAUUGGGAAUAACGAUGAUUACAAAGAGACAAGUGGGAUUCCUCAUGAGGUUUGUGUUUUAUAUGUUUGUGUUUGUGAGUCUUUUACUUUUGGAAUGGAUUUUGGAUCGAUGUUUAGUUAUUGAAUUAGAUCAGCAUCACCCUAUAGUCUAGAUGUGAUUUUUUGGCUUCACGAAGUCCUGAUGUGUUUGAUUCUUGGUUUAUUAGCUUUUUCAAAUUAUGAUUUUGGGAUUAGUUUGAUUGGAUGGCCAUGAACUAUAAAGGAUGAUUGAAUUGGUUCACUUCUGCCAAUGCACUUUUAUGUUCAUAAUGGUUUCCUUGGUCAUUGAAAUCGAGAGCCAGAGUCACCGUGAACGAAUUCAAGAGCCAAAUAAGUCCAGAAAAACUUCUCUCUUUCAAGUGGAAAGGUAUGUGUGGCUUACCUGUUGAUAACAAGUCUUGAUUUUCUUGGUAUAGAAUAGGAAUACUUAUCAGAGAUGCAUCAGUAUAUCUUGUUAUUUAGUAUGUCAUCAAGAUCAACUUAUUUGUUCUUCAAAAUAUAUUAUGAAGCUAAUGUCCACUUACAUUCUCUUAGCAUCUCUUGAGUUCUAUGCUUUUUGUAAUGGUUUAGGAGUUGUGUGAUGGUAUUGGAGGAGUAGCUACUGUUUAGUUUGAAAGUAUACUUGAUGAUAAGAUCCCUUAAGGUUAACCCUGCGAUGUGGUAUUUCUCAAGUAUAAAUAAUGUAUCUUGCUAAUGUAUUAUUUCAUUUGUAACCUUCUGUGUAUAAUUUUUAUCUAUAUCUACUUAAAAUGUUGUGAACUCCUUUAUGUUUUUAACUUGUUAUAGGCUGGUGGUAGUGUGGUUUCAAAUAGACAACUAUAGGGUGGCCUUGAAGUUUCUAGGGUCUUUGACGAAAGCCAAUUUAAAGAGAUUAUUUUCUCUUCUUUUAGAUGCCUUUGCCUUGCUAUUGGCAAUAAACCUUAUUGAUAACAUAAGUGCAAGUGAAAAUGAAACAUUUUCGCCUUGAGGUUUGCAAUGCAUAUUUGCCUCUUUUGAGUAUCUCUUGUCUAUUGAAACUUAUUCGUGUGCAUUUUCACUUAGUAUUAUAUUUGAGUUCUUGGUGUUCAUUAGGUUCUCAAUCCUGUCAUUCACCAUGCUACAGAGCGUGCCAACAUAUCUAAUUUUAUGGUGUUCUUUACCUAUUUAAGACUUCAAGAACUUGGACUUGUCAGUGCUUCAACAUUGCCGAAGUGGAGAUACAACAGGGGAAUGAUAUCUCUCCUGCGUUUGUCUAUGAUACAAGGCUUUUCAAGCUUCGAUUAGAACGAAAGACUAGUCUCUUAAAUGAAGAAUUAAAUGAAUUGUAAUCAAAAGUGGUAAAUUAUUCAGACCAUAUUUAUGUCCAAAUAAUUGUGUGUCGAAUAGAUUUGUUACUUGGUUUUUGAUACUUUCUUGUAACUUACCGCUAGCACCUAUACUUAGUCCACCUAAUUUUUUGCAUUCCAAAUGUUUAUGUUGAUGAGAUAGCUAGAAGUUCCUGUCCCUAUGCAAGUAGAUAUCUUGACAAAUGAGGUUGAGAUCGACGUAAUGAAGAGCAGAAUCAUUCACUGUUUGGGCGAUGGUGAUAUGCAUCGGGAACUCGGGAAACAGAUGAGGAAGAACAUGAAGAUGAGAAUGUAGAUUAUGUAUUAGGAGCUGUUGUUUUUCUAUAUGCCACAUUAGUAUCAUUUUCGUCUUAGUUAAAGAAUACUUUGAAGCUGGAUAAGAGUUGAUUAAUGCUACAUUGUUAUUCUUUUA
Molecule: long non-coding RNA, 2028 nt
Organism: Rosa rugosa (rugosa rose)
Lineage: Eukaryota; Viridiplantae; Streptophyta; Magnoliopsida; Rosales; Rosaceae
Exons: 3
Source: RefSeq, a predicted model, not a curated record